RNAcentral lists this transfer RNA (90 nucleotides) under Betaproteobacteria bacterium. RNAcentral's name for it is "tRNA-Ser". It matches the Rfam family "tRNA". Rfam says of the family: Transfer RNA (tRNA) molecules are approximately 80 nucleotides in length. Their secondary structure includes four short double-helical elements and three loops (D, anti-codon, and T loops). Lineage: Bacteria; Pseudomonadati; Pseudomonadota; Betaproteobacteria. The record is from RNAcentral.
GGAAGGUUGGCCGAGCGGCUUAAGGCACCGGUCUUGAAAACCGGCAGGGGCGCAAGUCCCUCGUGAGUUCGAAUCUCACACCUUCCGCCA